RNAcentral lists this long non-coding RNA (257 nucleotides) under Elaeis guineensis (African oil palm). RNAcentral describes it as "long non-coding RNA (EGUI_LNC080653)". The record is from RNAcentral. Lineage: Eukaryota; Viridiplantae; Streptophyta; Magnoliopsida; Arecales; Arecaceae.
AGUAAGCCAUUUUUCAUGUUGAGCUCUGUCACCAUUCUCAUUCAUUCUACUGUUGCGCAGUCUCUCUCUCUAACUUAAGCAUCGAAGGGUCCUUGUCGGAGAUAACUCCGAUCAGUAUGGAUUUUAUUUUGUAGGUGCUCGUCCCUGACGACAGGCGACGAGGGAGUUGACCGCAACAGAUUGGCGCAUCAGGAAGGAGGAGAGCUAGAAGGAAACUCGCAAUGACAAAAAUCAGAGCUCAAUGAUCAGCAGCGAUC